UACAGAGGAGCCAAGCGUUGUCCGGAUUGACUGGGCGUAAAGCGCACGCAGGCGGUCGGGCGCGUGGGGUGUGAAAUCUGGCCGCUUAACGGCCAGGCGCCAUCCCAUACGGACGGACUGGAGGGAUGCAGAGGUCGGUGGAAUUGCCGGUGUAGUGGUGAAAUGCGUAGAGAUCGGCAGGAACACCCAGGGGGAAGGCAGCCGACUGGGCAUCAACUGACGCUGAGGUGCGAGAGCGUGGGGAGCGAACCGG
Molecule: ribosomal RNA, 253 nt
Filed under: uncultured bacterium
Lineage: Bacteria
Description: partial 16S ribosomal RNA
Rfam family: Bacterial small subunit ribosomal RNA
Source: RNAcentral